AAUAUUUGACAAUGGGGGCAACCCUGAUCCAGCCAUUCCGCGUGCGUGAAGAAGGUCAUCGGUUUGUAAAGCACUUUAAGCUGGGAGGAAGGGCUUUAGGUUAAUACCCUGAAGUUUUGACGUUACCAACCGAAUAAGCACCGGCUACCUCUGUGCCAGCAGCCGCGGUAAUACAGAGGGUGCAAGCGUUAAUCGGAAUUACUGUGCGUAAAGCGCGGGUAGUUGGUUCAGUAAGAAGGGUGUGAAAUCCCCGGGCUUAACCUGGGAACUGCUUUCAUAACUGCUGAGCUAGAGGACGGUAGAGGGUAGUGGAAUUUCCUGUGUAGCGGUGAAAUGCGUAGAUAUAGGAAGGAACACCAGUGGCGAAGGCGACUACCUGGACUGAUACUGACACUGAGGUGCGAAAGCGUGGGGAGCAAAC
RNAcentral lists this ribosomal RNA (421 nucleotides) under uncultured bacterium. RNAcentral describes it as "partial 16S ribosomal RNA". It matches the Rfam family "Bacterial small subunit ribosomal RNA", at positions 360 to 773 of the family's 1533-position model. The record is from RNAcentral.